RNAcentral lists this unclassified non-coding RNA (528 nucleotides) under Hevea brasiliensis (rubber tree). The record is from RNAcentral. Lineage: Eukaryota; Viridiplantae; Streptophyta; Magnoliopsida; Malpighiales; Euphorbiaceae.
GAGAAUAUUAUUGUCAUUGUCUUGCACGAGACACGUAUAGACCUUCACAUGGGAAAAGCAAAAUUCUGAAAAAAAAAUUAUGAAUAAAUAGGUCAUGGGCAUCAACUACUUAAUUUUUAUGUAAGUUCCUAUAUUCUUAAUAAUAAAAAAAAAAUUAAUAAUUGUUAUAGAGUUUUAACUCAAUAAUUUUAUAUUAAUCUUUAUUUAAAAUUACACAAAGCAGAGAGUUCAGAAAUUUUUUGAAGUCUAUAAAAUGUACAUAAAAAAUUUUAUAUCAAUUAAAAAAUGAACCUUGGUGAAGAAAUGAUUGAUUGAUUAUAAGCAAGGGUCAGGAAACGUGUCCACUUGCUGUAGGCUUUUAACAUCCUAUUAUAUAUUUUGCUCUUUCUGCAUGAAGAUUUCAGAAAUUUAGAUAGUCAGUAAUUAACAGUGUAACACAGACUGCUACCACACCAUGACAAGUCACACGAUACAUAUAAACAAUGCUUGGAGCUUUAAGCUUUUACAGAAAUUUAAUCAACUUCAUGU